Populus trichocarpa (black cottonwood) is the source of this 156-nucleotide non-coding RNA. Lineage: Eukaryota; Viridiplantae; Streptophyta; Magnoliopsida; Malpighiales; Salicaceae. The record is from Rfam.
UCUAGAACUCAAGAUAUGGGCUAAACACUGAACAGUGUCUAGGCUGCAGGACAGAUUCGGACUUCUCUGUUGUUGCUACAAUUUGGACUUGAAAAUGGCCUUUUUAUAUCUUGGACUCCUCAUGAAAGUUUUAGGCCUAUGUCUUAGCUUUCCAUC